UCGGAUUGCAGGCUGCAACCCGCCUGCAUGAAGCCGGAAUCGCUAGUAAUCGCGGAUCAGAAUGCCGCGGUGAAUACGUUCCCGGGCCUUGUACACACCGCCCGUCACACCAUGGGAGUCGGAAAUGCCCGAAGUCAGUGACCCAACCGCAAGGAGGGAGCUGCCGAAGGUGGAGCCGGUAACUGGGGUGAAGUCGUAACAAGGUAAC
RNAcentral lists this ribosomal RNA (208 nucleotides) under uncultured bacterium. Its description in RNAcentral is "partial 16S ribosomal RNA". It matches the Rfam family "Bacterial small subunit ribosomal RNA", at positions 1293 to 1500 of the family's 1533-position model. The record is from RNAcentral.